GGCUAUUUUACAUCCAGUGCGAGGAAAAGUUCAGUUGAAGAGAUCCCAGUAGAUGACCUCACUUCCUUAUGAUGACACUUUGCUCAGAACCCUGUUGCCAAGCAACACAUAGCACCACUAACUGAUGCCUGCUCACUUGUCUGGAGACACAGGACACGUGAGGAUGUUUUCUUGCUGUCUCCCGACUUCCCAAGGCUCAGGCCUCACGAGAUCUCUCAGGAGAGGAGUCAGUCGCAUCUGGAGAAACUGGGUCCCGCGUCUCACACAAUGCCUGUGGCCAUCUUCUCAGAGGAGUCAAAGUGGGAAACACAGGUAGCUGAGGGCAGGUCCCACUCCAGGAUGAAAAGGAGUCAAGCCUGACUCUGGAUACUCAAGCUUGCUUAGAGCUUUUGAAGAUGGAUGUAAGGGAGUCCAUGGUCAACCAUCUUGUGCGAUCCUUGCUUCAAGGGAACUCUUUGUUCCUGCACGAGUUUUGGAAAAACUACCAAGUAUUUGGGACCACACGGCAGGUGCUGGAUCUGCUGUUGAAAAGGUUUGUGCACCACCUUGUAGGUCAGGGGAGCUCCAUCUGGCUGGGUUUUGGGAAUGCCUUGCACCACUUGGUGACCCAGUUUGCUGUGUGACAAUUGGAGUGCUAAUAGGAGGACCUGCAGGGUGUGGUCAGGAGCAAGGGAGUUGAGCCUGCAAAUGCCUGUCCUGUGCUUGAUCAUGUACCUUGGUUACCCAGCACUGUGGUCCACUUGAGUGUGACAUUCACCUUUCAUCAACAUGGAGAAGCUCUCAGCCUGGCUCCUCACUUGAGGCCUCAGAGAAAGUUUCCCCAUCUGUGAAAGAGGCUCUGGAUUCCAUCUGGGAGACUCUUCUCUUAGAUACAGGCAGAGCAGGAGCCCUGGGGAUGGACUGAGGGGCCUGAGACCCAUGGAGACAUUUGCGAAGGUGAUGGUUGGGUUCAUCCAUGGCAUACACAAAUAUGAAGCACUAAUUGUAUACAGGCACAUUGCUGGGUACUUAACCCAAUUCAGGGAAAAAGGGCAGGAAAAUACCUUUUCUCUUAGGCUUUAUUUUUAUGUCAGUAUAGACAGUGACACAAAAAAGUCAUAAGAAGGUAGGGUAGGUGUGUUACCAGUCUCCCAUAUCCAUCUGCUCAGGUUUGUUUGCUCACCCCUGGAAAACCAAAGGAAGCCAUUUUGGGGGGGGGGGG
Molecule: long non-coding RNA, 1201 nt
Filed under: Heterocephalus glaber (naked mole-rat)
Lineage: Eukaryota; Metazoa; Chordata; Mammalia; Rodentia; Bathyergidae
Description: lncRNA (ENSHGLG00100037351.1)
Source: RNAcentral